Molecule: ribosomal RNA, 254 nt
Filed under: uncultured bacterium
Lineage: Bacteria
Description: partial 16S ribosomal RNA
Rfam family: Bacterial small subunit ribosomal RNA
Source: RNAcentral
UACGUAGGGUGCAAGCGUUAAUCGGAAUUACUGGGCGUAAAGGGCGCGUAGGCGGCCACCGCAAGUCGACUGUGAAAUCUCCGGGCUUAACCCGGAAAGGUCAGCCGAUACUGCGGGGCUAGAGUGCAGAAGGGGCAACUGGAAUUCUCGGUGUAGCGGUGAAAUGCGUAGAUAUCGAGAGGAACACCUGCGGCGAAGGCGGGUUGCUGGGCUGAUACUGACGCUGAGGCGCGAAAGCCAGGGGAGCGAACGGG